UUUAGGUUCGGAAUAGCUCCUGGAAACGGGUGGUAAUGCCGAAUGUGCCCUUCGGGGGAAAGAUUUAUCGCCUUUAGAGCGGCCCGCGUCUGAUUAGCUAGUUGGUGAGGUAACGGCUCACCAAGGCGACGAUCAGUAGCUGGUCUGAGAGGAUGACCAGCCACACUGGGACUGAGACACGGCCCAGACUCCUACGGGAGGCAGCAGUGGGGAAUCUUGCGCAAUGGGCGAAAGCCUGACGCAGCCAUGCCGCGUGAAUGAUGAAGGUCUUAGGAUUGUAAAAUUCUUUCACCGGGGACGAUAAUGACGGUACCCGGAGAAGAAGCCCCGGCUAACUUCGUGCCAGCAGCCGCGGUAAUACGAAGGGGGCUAGCGUUGCUCGGAAUUACUGGGCGUAAAGGGCGCGUAGGCGGAUCGUUAAGUCAGAGGUGAAAUCCCAGGGCUCAACCCUGGAACUGCCUUUGAUACUGGCGAUCUUGAGUAUGAGAGAGGUAUGUGGAACUCCGAGUGUAGAGGUGAAAUUCGUAGAUAUUCGGAAGAACACCAGUGGCGAAGGCGACAUACUGGCUCAUUACUGACGCUGAGGCGCGAAAGCGUGGGGAGCAAACAGGAUUAGAUACCCUG
This 624-nucleotide ribosomal RNA is filed under the name Brevundimonas diminuta. RNAcentral's name for it is "bacterial SSU rRNA". It matches the Rfam family "Bacterial small subunit ribosomal RNA", at positions 131 to 789 of the family's 1533-position model. Lineage: Bacteria; Pseudomonadati; Pseudomonadota; Alphaproteobacteria; Caulobacterales; Caulobacteraceae. The record is from RNAcentral.